This is a long non-coding RNA of Hyla sarda, 1208 nucleotides long. RefSeq lists it as uncharacterized. NCBI's taxonomy places the organism in Eukaryota, Metazoa, Chordata, Amphibia, Anura, Hylidae. The transcript is spliced from 3 exons. The record is from RefSeq and is a predicted model, not a curated record.
AUCUGAUUGGUUGCUAUGGGCAACUCAGCAACUUUUACUUUGCACAGGUUUUGAUAAAUCUCCCCCUAUGUGUACUCUUUCAUCUCUUCCCCAGAUUGGAAAAAGGUGCCCUAGGAUUCGGUGGACCAUUCUCAUUUUCCUCUAAGAGCGAGAUCUCACCAUUAAGAUCGACAGUGGCAGCUGCAUUCAAACAUCUAUCUUUUAUAAAGAAACAGCAGUCAACAGUCUCCUGGAAUGGGGGAGUUGGCAUCCAAAACCUUUAAAGUGAGGAAUAUCGGUAGGACAAUUCCUUAGGAUCAGGCGGAAUUGCUUCGAGGAACGGAGUGAAAUGCAGAACCGAAGGUUAUUCGAUGCAUUGGCACCUUUGACAAUAAGUCAGACCAAGUCAUGAAUAUCAUGAGGAGGUACUGGCCGAUUCUUAGAGCAGAUGAGGACUUGAAAACAGUGUUAAACACUUAUCCGAGCAUUACAUAUCGGAGGGGUUCUAACUUGAGACCUAGUGGUUCACAGCCACUUUAACAAACAGAAAAAAGAUGCAUGGCUAAAAAAUUCGAACAUGGGCACCUGCCCUUGUGGACAAUGCUCUUUCCGCUCAUUUGUCACUCGGCGGAGAGAGUUUACAAAUCCAACAGACAGUCGGAUAUACAAACUAUAUGACUUUAUCAAUUGCAAGUGUGUGGGGAUUGUGUAUGUUUGCGCAUGCCCAAAAUUAUACGUGGGUAAAACCCGCCAGGAAUUCAGACGUCGGAUUUCGAAACAUCUUAGCGGUAUCAGAACGGGCGCAGAUACCCCUAUAGCUCGGCACGUUCGAGAUAUACAUAAAAAUAGUUUACGAUUUUGGGGGCUGAGACAGAUCAAAAUGGGACAAGGUGGAAAUUUUGAAAAUAUCCUCCUGAAAGUGGAGUCCAAAUGGAUUUUUCGCCUAAAAACCCUGAAUCCACAUAGCCUAAAUGAGGGCUUUAAAGGGGUAUUCCAGGCCAAAACUUUUUUGUAUAUUUCAACUGGGUCCGGAAAGUUAAACAGGUUUUUAAAUUACUUCUAUUAAAAAAUUCUUAAUCCUUCCAAUAGUUAUUAGCUUCUGGAAUACCCCUUUAAUUAUAUGGCCUUUAUCUAAUAAGGCCCUGUGAAUAAGGGGAUGGGAACAGUAUCCUGUUGGUUUGGAAAAUGUCCGAGUAAUAAACAAAUAUCUAUUCGACUGUUCACCUAUA